CCUGAUAGCAAACAAUCUUUCUUAAAGUUGUCACAUGACUAUUAUGGAAAUCGCAACAGGAAGAGAAAGUACGGAAAAGCUCAAGAAUUUAAAAAAAAGGAGGAACAACCUGAUGUCAUCACAAGCAACUACAGAGGCAUAAAAAGAAAGGUGAAGCAAGGAGAAAGUAUUCUACUGGUUCAUCCACAUGAAGCGACGAUCUUUUCAUCAAUCACUGAGCAGUCAGGCUGUGGGUAUGGCCAACGCACAGUGUGCAGUUCUGCUCCUGACUUUAGCUAUAGCAGUGCAGGAGUGUAAUGGGAUACCAGAAAGAACCAGGUGCACUUCACAACCACCAUGUUUUGACCUACUAAUUGUCGAGAGAAUGGCCCAGCGUGUCAGCAAGGAUGUGCCAGGUGCAGACAGUGACAACAUUUUAUUAAAGAGCAAAACGUAUGAUAAAAUUCGCCAAAAGAAGUACCUCCACAGUUGUGUCCUAGAAAAAAUCUUUGAAUUCUAUGAGAAUGUCCUAUCCAGUGACCAGUAUAUUCAAAACGAUGGUCGUGAACUGAUCUACACCUUGGACAGAGUGAGAAAUUGCACUUAUAAAGUGAAGAGAUGCGAGAUGUUGUAUCAAAAGGCUAACCACCAAGCUGACUUAGAGAUUGCCGAAUCGGAUAUGAGUGCACAGGAGGUGGCCAUCAUUCAGCUACAAAAACUUAACCACGCUAGUGAAAGAUUAAAUGACACAACCAUCCUAGAGACAGCCAUGGAUGAACUGAAGUCUCUUCAUCACUACAUCCCUGGGAGUGCCUUCCUAAAAAGUAAUGGCUGAAUAACAUCCCAGUAGACUCCACAUACAGACAUGUGAGCUUGUGAUUGAUGCCGUGCCUAGACAGGUCCAAAAAUCUAUAGUGAUGAUGACUAAUUGAAUGCAAUUAUACAUUCUAUAGAGCAUUUCUAUAUUGGAAAAUAUAUUUUUAAUAUGUCAGAUAUUUUUAAUAAAUAAGCUUUUCUCUUUUUUUUUUCUUUUCUUUUUUUUUACAUGCCUUAACAUACAGUUGUAAUCAAAAUUAUUUAACCCCCAUUGCAAAUCAGGUUUAUUGUCACAAUUUACAGACUUUCAGUUGUUUGCAAUGAACAAAUCAAACACAAGCAAUUGAAAUAGCUCAACACAACCAAUGCUUCAAGUGGUUUCCCCAAAUUCAACUGAAAAUGCAACUUAUAAUGAUUUCUCCAGUUUCAAAAUGAUUCAAACCCCUGAAUAGAAUCGCACACAACAGCACAAAUAUGCAAAACAGGCGUUGUCUCAAGCACACCUGAUACAACUAAUCAAGGGCUUCAUUAGUUACACCAGGUGUGGUUAAGCUGGAGCACAUGAAAUACAUGUCUUUGCAAUGGGGGUUGAAUCAUUUUGAUUGCAACUGUAUAUUCGUCUCUAAUUAAGUACAAUGCUUUUCACCAUUUUGGUAU
Long non-coding RNA from Ictalurus punctatus (channel catfish), 1452 nucleotides. The record is from Ensembl. Lineage: Eukaryota; Metazoa; Chordata; Actinopteri; Siluriformes; Ictaluridae.